This 243-nucleotide ribosomal RNA is filed under the name uncultured bacterium. RNAcentral's name for it is "partial 16S ribosomal RNA". It matches the Rfam family "Bacterial small subunit ribosomal RNA", at positions 336 to 596 of the family's 1533-position model. The record is from RNAcentral.
CGCCUACGGGGGGCAGCAGUGGGGAAUAUUGCACAAUGGGGGAAACCCUGAUGCAGCAACGCCGCGUGAGUGAAGAAGUCAUUCGUGAUGUAAAGCUCUAUCAGCAGGGAAGAAAAUGACGGUACCUGAGUAAGAAGCCCCGGCUAACUACGUGCCAGCAGCCGCGGUAAUACGUAGGGGGCAAGCGUUAUCCGGAUUUACUGGGUGUAAAGGGAGCGUAGACGGCCAGACAAGUCUGAAGUG